UGGCAGUGAAAGUGUGGGAAGAACAAGAGGAAUAAGGGGAAGAUCAAGAAGCCGUAGCCCACCUUUGAACUAGACCAUGGAAAUCCACACUCGCUGAUGAUUUCAGGAGGUACUGCUGCGGUCAGCUGGGAAGCCAGGAGAACAUGCCUCUUUGAUGCAGCUGAACACUGUCUAUGAUGUUCUCGGUGCUUGCAGCUGUCCAUUGCUACUAGCUGUUCCUGGUGUUGGAGGCACAGCCCCAAACUAAAAAAAAGAAGAAGGCAGGAUGCACUGUGGCAGGAGGAAGGCUUCAGAUGGUGACAGGAGAGAGAACCACCCAGAGGAAGCCCAGCUGCUGGAGUGUGCUAGAGAAAGCCUGCAAGGCUCCAGGAGGGACCAGAUACGGGGCCACUUCCAACAACAUUCAGAGAGCUGGCACAGAUGUUCCAUCGGGAGCCAGCCACGGAUCAGCUCACACAGAUCAUUCUUGGACUGCAGGUGUGCCCAGGUGCUGAUCUAGAAGAGCAUCAUGGCUCAUAGAGCAUCAUUUGUCUGCAAAAUGAUGUUUGAGAAGAGACCCCUGAAAACAGGAUCUCGAUGACCAAGGAUGACCUGUUCAAUAGCAGGACAAGACUUUAAUCAUCCAAAAAGUUCAACAGGACUCAUUGUACCUUAGUGUUCACCAACCCAAGGAGCUGCAGAGACCAGCAGCCCUGCAGCAGAACCUGGAGAGAUCCAAAGGUCCUUGCAUGGAUACUUAUCUUUCUUACCUUUCCCCAGCCAUAGGGAAUCUGUUAGUCAGCUUUUUGUCACUGUGACCAAAAUACCUGACAAGAAUAACUUGAAGGAGGAAAAGUCUGGUUCAUGGUUUCAGAGGUUUCAGUCCAUGGCUGGCCAACUCUGUUGCUCUGGCCUGAAGUGGAGGAGAACAUCAUGGUGAAAGAGCAGUGGCUAAGGAAAGUGGCUUAGCUCAUAACAGUUGGGAAACAAAGACAGGGCAAGGAGCUAGGGGACAAGAUAAAAUCCCCAAGACCUGUCCUCAAUGACCUGUUUCCUCUAGCCAUACCAUACCUGCCCAGAAUUACCACCCAGUAUUCAAUUCAAAUUAUUAAUCCAUCAAAUGGGUUAACCCACUGAUUGGGUCACAGUCUUCAUAAUCUAAUCAUUUACCUCACCGAUCAUGAUCUAAUCAUUUUAUAAUCUAAUCAUGCUUAGUGGAACGUCUAGCAUGCAGUAAAUAUUCUGUUUAGGUAAUAAAACAUUCCUGUAUUGUC
Long non-coding RNA from Marmota flaviventris (yellow-bellied marmot), 1253 nucleotides. RefSeq lists it as uncharacterized. NCBI's taxonomy places the organism in Eukaryota, Metazoa, Chordata, Mammalia, Rodentia, Sciuridae. The record is from RefSeq and is a predicted model, not a curated record.